Non-coding RNA from Xyrichtys novacula (pearly razorfish), 9610 nucleotides. Lineage: Eukaryota; Metazoa; Chordata; Actinopteri; Labriformes; Labridae. The record is from the annotation of a GenBank genome assembly.
ACAGUGUCAGGCACAUUUCAGUGCAAUAAAUAAUCAUCAUCAACUAUUAAUCUGAGUCAGCACAUAUAUUUAGAUCUAUAUCGAUAUAUUCUGAUCUAUAUGUGAUCUGAUGAGCGCGUUUGGCACGCGUUUGGACACACAACCUGACCGAAUCAACACAGCUGAAACCGCAUAAAAUUAAAUUAAAUAUCUAGUAAAUAAACACACAUGAUGAAGUUAACUAGAUAUGUAAUUCAUCUCUUCCUUUUCUUUCUUCCUCUUCCUCUUAUUUCUCGCACAGCUCGACCUGGACACGCCUCCGUGUCCUCUGUCCGUCUUGCUGCUGCUGCAGCUGAACAGAUGAUUUGUUUCAGUGCUCAGAUGCGUUAUCUACUUUAAGCCGACAUACAGAUAUUAUAAUAUUCAGUUUUGUGAGCCAAAUUUAUUUUAUAUGCCAACAUCUAUGAAAGAAAGAGCCAGGCCACGGAGCGCGAUGCGUCAUUUACACACAGAUGGUUCAGAUUUUAAUGCCAUUUUUGGAGUUUAUGUUGUGAUCUGUGCGCUAAACCCACCUUUGUUACGUGAGGUUUGAAUAUGAGCAACUUUAUGUGAGUGUCUUUAUUUGUGGAAAAGGGUGUUUGUCUUACCAGUGGGUCCAACAUUACGCACACUAAAUCCAUCUGUGCUCAUAUGAGAGAGUGUGGAGGACACUUGUUGAGGAGCUGCCCUCUGUCGCCAUCUUGUGGCAUUACUGUCUUAAGACAUCUCUUGAUCUCUUUGACUACUUCAUGAAAAUAGUAAUACGCCUCGCCUGUGGCGGAUUUAAAGGCAAGGAGAGGAGCCUAUGUGAUUGGUGAAAACAGGUCUCGGCUGUGUUAAACCGACUUCACGCCCUUUCUCCUCCCCGUUACGACUUAUGGUGCUGGGAGGAGCUGAGUUAGGGAGGGGGGAUACUUACGCCGGGCUGCGCGGCUCACCAAAAUACCAAAAUGUGCUUGGGAACGCCUUGUCAGCGCGGCGGAUCUGACUGACGCUGCACUUGCGGCACGUCUCCGGCGAGGCACCAAAAUAGAGCCCCAAGUCUACAUCUGCUGCUAAUGCUAAUGCUAAUGCUAUGACACUCCGACUAUCAUUUGAUUUGGUGUUUUCUCAGUAAAAUGCCGUUUGAUGGAAACAACUGAAGCUUAUAGAGCAUUUGAAAACAGACUCAACAUGCACUAAUACAGUAAGUGGAAGUGCCACAGGUUGUCCUUCAAGACCCAGCAACAGUAAGUGCUGAUGAGACGCGCUCUGAAUCUGAGACCAUAGGCGCUGCCAGCAUAAAAAUGUGGCAGUGAUGGACACAUGCCCUUAAAUUCUGUCCCAGCUAACUUAAAAAGUUUCUGAUCCGCUCGAUUACUUAUUUUAAUCUCAUGAACCAGGAAUUUUCGCAUCAUGAGAAGUAAGAAAAAGACAUUAGUAAUGCACCAGUGCAGCUACUUCCUGAUGAACUUGCAGGUUCACUCUUCUGUUUAGUGAUGUAGAUGUUUUCAUGAUGUGAUCACAAACAUCACUUUUCUUUCAAAUGGCUCCAUUUCCACCUCUCAGAACCUUCACAACACUGGAUGAGUAAAACGUUUCUGUACUUUGAGGCCGGGAAUCGAAGUGAUGACAAGCAAAGAAAGUGGAUUCAGUUUAUUGAGACACUGCCAAAGUGUUCCUGCAAUAUGCCAUGUCUGUGUUAGAGUACUUUUCUGUUCUUGCCUUAGUAAGCAGUCAGGUUUUAUCAAUCAGUGUCAGAGCAGAGAGAGGCUUAACAAUAAACUCAGUGUGUACAGUUCAGUGCUUACGCUCUGGUGUCAGCGAUGUCUUUAUUAACAAAUCCACUGUCACAACGUUCUGCUCUUAAAACAAGCCUGUCUAUGUGAAUAUAUGUAAGCAGGGCUCAAAGAGGAAAGAGGGUCCUCACAUGGGAGACUUUUAGACAAAAAAAAUCUCAGUCUUGGUAGUUCUCGAAGCAUCUUUGGGAAUUCAUUUAAAAUUUGAAAACAUGAAAAUAAGUCUAUGUGAAAUAUGUGUUCACUUUAGACAGCUGCCUGUCUGCCCAUCUGUCCAUGCAGCUAUAUUUACAACACCAUCUUCUACCAUGAUGAAUAUCCACCUGUUUUUUCAGCUGUCAACCUUCUAUGAUGCCUGCAACACUUUGCAGUAAGUGUGUGGCUGCAAGUAAGUAUGAGAGAGAGCAACCACUUAAGCUGUCCAUCUAAAUCUGAAAUUAAAAACAAGGUGCAUGUGCACACAUGGAGGAAAGGAAAUGUUUCCGUGAAUGCCCUCAUCUAAUGGCCUUCACUGUUUAGUUACACAGCCAAUCACAUGACCCAUAAUGUCCCCCACAACCCAAACAUGGUGUUUACUGGUGUUUCGUCCAGAUAGGUCGAACUUUGGGUGACUCUUUAGUUACUGCACCACCUCCAUGCUCGCUCCUCACAUUCCUAUACGUAUUAGAGGACAAUAAAGGGGGGGGGGUUCAACUGUAUGCCCUACCUCCCGUAUUUAAGCCCUUUUGAUCAAAUUGUCUUCAGUCAAAACAUUAAAGCACCCCUGUACAUAGACAACAAUGCUUUCAUUCAUGUACCCUAUGCCUAAAACCAGCUCUGCGUGCUAAUGUAUAUUAAUGCAUUCAUGCAUGUGCUGGCCCAUCCAACACAUGUGUGUGUGUGUGUGUGUACAGUGUGAUUUAUAUACAGAGAAUAGAUAUGUGCGUAAGUCACAAUAAACACUCCAGUGCUCACAUUAUAUUCUGCUAAUAGGCUGUAUGAAUAGAUGAACAGUUUCUGUGAAUUCCAUCUUACGUGUGUCUGUGGCUCCCUGUGCAUCUGUUUUGUUUAUCGAAUGGUUAUUUAACCUCUGCAGCUCUGCUGAGCAGCCUCCCAGCUUCAUUCAAACCAUCCAGCCAUUUUGGAAAGGACCGUGUUUUUUCCCUGCUAGGUAAUCCGUAUGGGCUUGACUGACAGAAGAAUGGUGAGGAUGUAGAAAAUGCUCAUUGUCCAUUGACCAGGAAAUUGGUACCAGGCCCAUUUAGGAUGUGGAUGGUUGCUUUUGGCAGUGAUAGACAAUACACAAACAUACGCAAACAACUAGCUGAAUGCAAAGCCAAGUGCUCAACACAGCUCCUGCUAUCGUGCUGUUGUUUUUGCAGAAUGGAAGAAUAGCCUGGCUUAGCUUUAAUAUUGAGAAAACAGCCAGAAAAGUUCAACCAACAUUAUGCCAUCAAAUAAUGAGUGUGUACUUCACCUGCAUAAAACUUUGAAACUAAUGCAAAACACCAACAAAAUCGGCAGGAGAAAACUUCCUUGUGCAAAGUUCUACCCCCAAACUGAACUUGAACUGUGUAGACUAAGAGAAGAGGUAUUUCAAAGCUAGUCUAUGGUGACUAUGACUGUCAAAUGGUGUAAUGUAACUGAGCAGAACGCCAUUUGACAGUCAUAAGCAUGAUGGAGGCAACAGCAGUAGGAGCUGUUUCUCAGGACUGGAGAAAAAAACUCAAGAAUGCCAAGGACGUCUGUUUGCUGUAAGUGAAUCUAUGUUUUACAUUUUAAAAAAGGGAUGUAUGAGUUUAGUUGACUAUAUAAUUAACAUCAUAUUUCCUUUUCAUUCUUUGCCAGACACAUGGAUUAUUAGUAUUUUCAUUACUGGUGGUCUUGAAUGUCAGUCAUUUGUAGUGUCUCAGCUUUGGCUCAGCUACCAGCCUGAGCUGUGGCUCAGGGUGGUGGUACCCGCCGUAAUGCUCUAAUGCUCUGCUGCUUAAAUGGUAAUUAACACGGGCCACACUUGGCAUCUCAAAGAACUGCUUGGUUUAUGAUCUGAAAAAUGGAGAAAAAGCUGAAUUAACCUUGUUUUUUUUGACAUUUUGAAAAUAAGUUGUGCCAUUUACAUCAGCACAACUAUCAUACUUGUCAGUGUAUAAAAAGCAAAGAAAGGUGUUAUAUUAUACUAUGGUAUUGUACCAGAAGAUGGCACUUAAACAGCCUCUUCAAAGAAGACAUACUGAGUGACAUCCACUUUUAAAGGGGAGUUUUUUAAGCUAAUCCAUACUUUAAUGUCACAAUGUUGAAUGUCCAUACUUUACCUCAGGAAAGUUCUAUGACAUGACUUACAAAGAUGGCGGCUAAUCCUCACACACAUUUUCCGACCUUACCAGACAGUUUGUUUCAAGAUGAAGCCACCUGACGAGACAGUGAUUAAGGAUGAGUCUGAACAGCAGCUCUGUCAGAGUCACCCACCUAAUCUUUGGAAAAUCUGUUCCUCUACCCGGCUUUUCCUCCACUCAUCACUUUGUUGAUUCUGUUUGGCUGAUUGUGGAUUCACCAGGUUGUGUGAUCAGCAUACAGAAGGUGUGCAGGAGCUUUUUCUUGUCAUGGAUUAAGUUAAAAGCGAUGGAAGUCUUGAUGCUGGAACAUAAUUAAUCCUUUUCACCGAAAGAAGCUCCCCAAAAAUAUACUGGUGCAUUUUAUAUUUUGGAUUUUACAGUAAAUAAUGCUCAGUUUUGACAGUUUUCUCAGUUUGUCCUCUGACCCUCACUUGAUUGUGUCCCACUCUGAUGCUUUUUUUGUUUGUUUGUUUGUUUGUUUGUUUUUACUAUUUAAAGUGUUCUCAGUGGUCUGUAAAUUGUGAUUAUGAAGUUUUAAGCCAAAAUCACAUUACCUGUCAUUUUCAAGGGCUUUUCUUCUGCAGAGCUCUAGUAGCUCAUUAGCAAUUUGCCUAUGAGUUGUGGGUGGAAACAGCGCUGCACUGCACACUCCUCUUCAUGCUAGCUUGUAGCCUAACAUUGCCGGUGUUGUAGAAGUGGCAGGUAACAUAAGAGCUACUCAGCUCUCGGACACUUAUGUCUUUAGGGACAUGAUGAAAGUUAAUAUCUUUCUUACGAGCAUUGCAAUCCCCUAAUGCACAUGCUCGUCCGCUCUACUUCUCCGAGUCUGGCCUGUAUAGUAGGGCUCCUGGGGCGGAGCUUGGAUUUGUGAUGUAGGAAAUCCCACUGUGUCUGAGCCUGCUGUUUGGGUCUGCCAGAGAUUCCCAGCAAUUUGAAUGCAGAAAUACUCAAAAAUGCUUUUACUAAAUUUAUUUACUUACUUUUCUCAUGAUAGGUCUUGUGGCAUCAGAAAAAUGCCAUAUGAACAUGGAAACAACAAGAAAAACACUAGAUACGUAAGGCGUGACAUGUGCAAAUAGCCAAAAUGGGCCAAAAACAGCGGAAUAACUCUUUAAACGUGUGUCUGAGAAAAAAGUCCAAGCACGCAAAAUCAAAGAUCUCAUGAAGAUACACAUGCCUGUAAAAUUUUGGGCAGAUCGGAAAAAGUCGACGUUAAUGGUACUCUGCAGGGGGCACUAGCAAGCCAUCUUCCAUCGCUUUUUUUGGGUCACAUUGCGGUUUUUGCUGGGCCCGACCUGCCUGCAAAUUUUGGUCAAUUUUCGAGGUCAUUCAGAGGGUCAAAUUAGCGUUUUCAGAGGCAGUAAAAUAAUAAUAAUAAUAGAGAACCCCUUGGGUUUCAAUAGGGCUUCUGCCAUGGCUUUGCUGCCGGCUCAGAUCCUUACGAUUUUCAUCGGGUGGGUCUUUAGCUGAUGUAUGAAAAAAAAAAAUCUGAAUAUUUAAUCAGGAUUGCCACAGAGCCUCUUUUUCCCUUUUCUUUAUUUAUCAAACAACAAGAAUUAAGCAGCUUGUAAGCAAACAAAAGCUGUCUCCUCCAGAGGUAAUUGAUGUUGUACAAAGCAGUAAAAUUCUGAAUAAACAUGCCAUGUUUCACUCUCUUAUCCCUCCUCCUUUUGUCCCACUCCUCUGCCUCUCCUUGAAGAUAUGGAGGUCCCUCUCGGCUUAUUUUACAGGCCUGUAUGUAAUUGCAGAGCUCUUACCUUUAUGUGAGCAACAUCAAGCGGACAGGGACCCUGGUUUAAACAAGGUCAGUGCAUAAGCAGCACUCCUAUCUCCUCCACACACAAUGCAGGCUCUGCAUCAGGACGCAGACUCUGAUGUCUCAGCACCCUAUAGACAGUGAGUCCUUCAGGACGGGGCUUCCUAAUAGAAGCAGAGAUUAGCAGAUGUUCCAGAGGAGACCCAAUCAACUCUGCUGAGCUGCAUUGAACCUGAGACUUUGUUGCUUUUGAUUGCAGGAGCAUUUACUUUCUCUCUGUAAAUACUUUUCUGUUCUCCUAAACUUUUGGAUUUGGCCCAUCAAACGGCUGUAAAAGCAGACUGUGCAGGGACUGAAUGUCUGCUCGGGGGUCUUUAAGGGAGUAAAUGAUUGAGGCAGACAGAUGUCACAGAGGAGGGACUGUGAUACUUUAGAAAACUGAGGGAAAUCUUUGGUAUGGUUGCUUAUAUGCUCAGGAUUCAACAGUUAACAUCCUAUUACCCUAUCCAACCACUGUUUCAAACAGCUGUUGUAGUAUAAAGGAGGACCAAACAUGGCAAUGGAAGAAAGUUUUUAUUUAUUAGAAAAAAGGCUGGUCUGCAAUUUAGUUCAACUAUAUUACCACAAUCUUCCAUUUCCCAUACCCCUACCUUCAAACUACAAUCACACUGAGAGUUUAGAAAUGAAAAAUAACUCUAGAUGUGACAAUGAGAAUAAAAAUGACAACCCAAGGACUUCAUGCUUCAAAUCCAGAUGAAGAGUUUGGCUACCUUGAGGCAUGUAUCUCACACUGAAGGACACAUAAAGAGCAGGCUAGCCAUUCAAAUGAAUGAGCACAAAAGUGCUGUUUAACAAGAACUCAGCAAGUUCAAGGUAUUUUGUAUCAGCACUAAGUUGUCGAUAUUGUACGACUUUCUCAGUUAUUUGGUUUUUAUUUUCACUGCUGCAUAAGUAUGGCAUGAAAAUAAAGGCAUUUUAACUGUUCAAAAGAGGUCGACUUAAAGGUGGGGUAGGCUUAAUCUGAGGAAGUGCCGGUUUUUGGGAGAAAUCUUGAAUGUAAACACUACCCCUCCCAACCAAUUUUCCCCUCAGCUCCUCCUCUUCCCUCCCUCUCUGCUCCAGCAAGCCCCGCCCACAAACAUACACUCCUGCUCGCUCAUAUCGUUCAUUCUACCUCUGUUUUAAGCUCCCUUAUUCCGCCAGAGUCUCCAGUAUUUACUUCUUUUUAUUGCUUGUGUUUUCUGUACUUUCUGGUUGGUUUCUACUGUCCGAUGUUGUAGCACGCUAACUUUGUUUGAGCUUGUGAAAGUUAUUGAAGGACAUGGAGCGUGCCUCACAACAGGAGGGAGCAGCAUCUAUCUUACAAUCAGUAAGGUUGGAGGAGGUGGAGAACGGCUUUGUUUACAGUCAGAAACGCCAUUAAAAAUGCCACACUGUACCGCGAGUCAAGCAAAAAUUUUAGAGGACAGGGAAGGUGUGUAAUUUCUGAUCAAAUCAAAACAAAUGAGCUAUAAAACAACCUCAUAACACUCAUGAAGUGGCCUUAAUAACAGAGAGACAUACUUAAGAAAACCACGGUGAUGGACCAGAUUUGGAGGUUGUUGAAUUCUGCAGAAACAGGCUUUUUAUUAUGGGCUCUAAUGAGGGUGGCUUAGUUUAAAGAGCAAGCCCCCGGUGGACAUUUUAGGAACUGUAGUUUUUUGCACUUCUUUUUCCAAUGCAGUAGGUUUCUGUGCAGCUGGAUUUUGGGGAAUUGAGGUACAUAUCCGUUGGAGUUGAAUAAAACAAACUAACUUAAAAAAAAGGAAAAUAAAAAAAUGAGGGAAAAAUCAGGAAGGAAAAUCUGACUCUGUUUUGGGACAAUAAAGACAGUUUAAAUUUUUCUUGUUCUGCUCUUUUGUCUUUAAAUAAGUCUUUUUGUUGUCUGUCCUUUCUUUUAUCUUCUUUUUUUAUUUUACCCUGACCCUCACCUAUCUGCAGGUUACCCCUUUCAUCUAUUAGUUCUGCCUCGCUCUGAUCUUCUCUAGCUUCUCUCAUCUUCAAAUCAUCCCUCCUCUUUCUUCUCUCCCGCUCUCCCUCCAUCUCUCCGGGACUCGGCCUGCCUGGCAUGUUGUAUUUGCUCAGCCCGUCACUAGCUGCCUCUGUUUAUUACAUAUUCAGUGCUUAGACAGAGGAGACAGAGAGGGCCUGCCCUUUGGAGGAUUUUCCUCCCAACUCUCCUGCUGCUGUCUGUCGCUGAAUGUUAAGCCGCCACCUCACUGGAAAAUUGAUUGUUUUGGGUUGUUUUUGUCCUUUCAUUUAUUUCAAUUUAUUCAGUAUCGAGCGUAUACACCUGCCAGUUGUGUCAAACAAAGUUCACAUGACCUGUAAUUACAUUAGGCAGAGGGGGAUCAUGGAAAUGGAUAACCUCAGACUCAGAACCGAGGAUAUUUCUACGACUUCUUAUCUGAAUUAAAUCCCUCAUUAAGCUGCAAUGGAUUAUGUUAAUUAAUAAACGAUCAGUUCAGGGAACAUGGGAAAUAAACAAUAAACAUUAUCCUUGAGCUGCUAAUAAAGUUCUUGUGUAUCAAGUGACAUCCAUCACUGUUGACUCAGACCUAAUUAGAUAACAGAUUUGCUGAUUCCAACCGCUGCAGCACAGAUAAGAAGCUAACCAGCAUGCUUAGCAUAUUCAGUUUAAUCGAAAUUGUGUUGUAUUUAAACAGCUAUGUUGGACUCUCCAAACUGUCCACCCUGAAAGUCUUAAAUCUUUGGUUCAUCCUCUCUUCAGGAUUUGUUUCCUCUAACUGCAGGCUGCCUUCCCCUUUACAAUGAGAAACCGCAUCCUGAAGUGUGCUCUGCCUGCUCCUCAAAGCUAUCACAGGCUUUCACAAUAGCCCGCGGCGCUCUUUUCAUCAACCCACAAGCCUGAUCUGAACACCUCCGAGGAGCUGCUUAAACCGCAGCAGGGGGAGGAAGAGCGAGGUGAGAGGAGGUGAGGUGCAGCUGUGAGGAGACGAUGGUAGGGACUCACGGAGGAGUCUUGGGACUUGGUUAAACUCAGGAGAAAAAUCUCUACUCGACUGUCACUUCAUUUACUCCACAACGGUGUGAGGAAAUACCAAGAAUUAGCCAUUGCAGGAGAGUAACCAAAAUUAUAAACACUAGAACUAGCGAGUUAAGAAGCCAGUUAAAGUGAUGCAUGCUGCUGGUUUUUGAGCCAGUACUGGUCACUGAUAAAAACCUGCAGCUGAAGGUUGAAAAAGAAAAGAUUAAUUAUACAUUUUUAACAACUUUGUAUCCUCAAAGGUGUAUUUUUUGCAUACCUGAGGGUCAGACGGGUGAGCAAAUAUGUGUUAGUUAGUAUCCUCUAGUUCCAGUUGAAAUGACAAUGGUUAACUCACAAAACCAGUUAAAACCCUUAAAUUGUAUUUACAUAUUUUUUUAAUUGUAUUUUACAUAUAUUUUUUCUUUGACUGUGAAUGGGAGUAUUUUUCAACUUUACAGGUGAUCUGUAAAAACAGUUGUGUUCAAAUUUGAGUUUUUUCUCCUUUGAAAAUGAUUUUGGCACAUGUUUUGGAAAUGACACUCAUGUUCUCUUCCCCUGAAACAGUGAUUUUAAAUACAGCAGUGAUGCCAUUUCUCAUCAGCUUGUUCGUGCUGCGUUUGUUGGAGGCGGCUAUGGCUCGGUGGUCGAGUAAGUCACCUCUCUAUCCAAAGGUCUCACUGUCCACAUGCCAGAGUGCCUUUGGCCAAGACACUCGACC